UACGUAGGGGGCAAGCGUUAAUCGGAAUUACUGGGCGUAAAGCGUGCGCAGGCGGUUUUGCAAGACAGAUGUGAAAUCCCCGGGCUUAACCUGGGAACUGCAUUUGUGACUGCACGGCUAGAGUGUGUCAGAGGGGGGUAGAAUUCCACGUGUAGCAGUGAAAUGCGUAGAUAUGUGGAGGAAUACCGAUGGCGAAGGCAGCCCCCUGGGAUAACACUGACGCUCAUGCACGAAAGCGUGGGGAGCAAACAGG
This 253-nucleotide ribosomal RNA is filed under the name uncultured bacterium. RNAcentral describes it as "partial 16S ribosomal RNA". It matches the Rfam family "Bacterial small subunit ribosomal RNA", at positions 524 to 776 of the family's 1533-position model. The record is from RNAcentral.